AUCUUAGUGGAUUUCAGGGAUUAGAUUUAUAUCUUUUUGCUGCUGUUCCCCAUUUUCCACUGUGCUACCUCAGCAUGUGGGAUUUGUGUGUAGCACAGCAGAUCUCAAGAUGACUGGAUUUUAUACUGGGUUUGUGGAAGCCGUGCUCUGUAGAUGUUAUUUCUGACUGUAUUAUAGGCAUUUAUUUACAUCACUUAUGAUUUCAUGUCGUCACAUGGAUCUUUUUGUCGGGAAAAGCUAUAAGCCGAUGCCCAGAACUGUCUUUUUUCUUCAUACAUCAUCUUUCUUCACUAACUUGAAGCUUGGAGGAUGCAAAUUAUUGACUUUUAAACUCCUUUACUGAGAGCUUUACCACCUAUACUUUUUUACAAGGAUUCAUGGAACAUUAAGAUGCAGUCGAUGCAUAUAACACUGGUGCUUUAAAUGUUCUUUGCUGGUGUUUUGCAGUUGUUGAGACUCAAGUUGCAAUAUAUAGGAUAAAAGAUAUUUCCAUCAAACUUCUACCUUCAGGCUCUUUUGUUUUAUCUCCCCCCCCACUGAACUUAUCAGGUGGGGGGGGAAGGGGUAAGGCCCAAACCAUGGAGUCCAACCCAGACAGCCCGAGUCGGGCUGUGGAGUAUCUUCUGGAGCUCAAUAACAUCAUCGAGAACCAGGCCAAACUUCUAGAGACACAGCGUAAACGUAUCGAGGAGCUCCAAACGCAGCUAGACCGGGUCAACCAGGAGAACCAGGACCUGCGGCAGGACCGAAACCCGGGAACCGAGAACUCGACGCAGAACCACAACUACAACCAGAGCUCUAAGCCCAGCCAGCCAUCAUCACUACCAAACCACAGUGCUGGAGGUGUCCAUCAGAACAGCAGCAGUAAUAUACCCUCAUCCACGGUGCCUGGUCCAGCUCGACGGAAUCACAGCAGACUGACCCGAGGCCUGUCAUGUGGGUCAGCCCCUGUCGAGGAGAGAGGCCGACUGGAGCGAAAUGACAGCUCUGGGACCAACAACACCUCCACUCUACGGAAACAUGAGGAGGAAACCCAGAGUUCAGCUUCACGUCCCUUUUCAGACAGUUCCAAUAGUAAAUCUCCUUACGUGCACAGCUCUGACCGUUACGGGGACAACAGCUGUGGCCCCCCAGGCCCUCGGGUGCCUUUUGUGCUCCCUCCAAGCCCAGCCAGCCUCGCCUGGGCACAGCGUACACGCAACCAACCAGCUAGCCUGGCCCUACGUAAACAAGAGGAAGAAGAGAACAAGAGGUGCAAAGCCCUAUCAGACAGUUAUGAACUCUCUACAGACCUACAAGACAAGAAGGUGGAGAUGCUGGAGAAGAAAUAUGGAGGUUACUUCGUAAGUAGACGAGCAGCACGUACCAUCCAGACAGCAUUCCGUCAAUAUCGUAUGAACAAGAACUUUGAGCGCCUGCGCAGCUCAGCUUCCGAGAGCCGCAUGACACGGCGCAUCAUCCUUUCCAACAUGCGACUGCAGUACUCGUUUGAUGACCGACAGCCUCAACCUCCCACCCCAACUCACUACAGUCACAGUCCAGGAAUGGGUCCUCCGCAUUCUCCAACCUGCACCACAGAGCCAAGCUCCCCAUCACAACCGGAAUACACCCACCUAGAGGACUCCUUCUCAAAACAAGUCAGUACCCAUGGUGUUGUUGAUGACUUUGGUGAGUGGGGCUUGAGUAUGCAUGAAGACAGCACAGCCACCUCCUACAGUGAUGUUACACUUUACAUGGACGACGGUCUACCUUCCUCACCGCUUUCUCUAGAUCGGGCCCCUAGCAGCACAGACACUGAGUUCUGGGGGGGUGUUGGAAGUGGAGUAGGUGGUAGGGAAGACAGCCGUGACACAGAAGGAGGAGGAAGCAGCAAUAGCCGCCGAAGCACACCUUGCACAGAGUGCCGUGAUUACCGUUUACGGGGAGGGCACUUACCGUUACUUACGAUUGAACCACCUAGUGACAGUUCAGUGGACAUGAGUGACCGCUCAGACCGAGGCUCCCUUAGCAGACAACUAGUCUUUGAGCAGGACUCAGCAGGAGGAUCACCUCAAGGGACACUAAAGCAUAAUCCUAAUGCUCGUUCGACAUCCUCGACAGCUGCACAAGGUCAAACACGUCCACCCCCAACCACACCGCUCUCAUCCUCCUCUUCAGCACCACUGCCUCCUGGUGGCUUGGAGCAGCAAUGCUGCUCGGAUGGUGAUAAUGACUCACUGAAUUCCACCACAAACUCUAAUGAGACCAUUAAUUGCAGCUCAGGCUCCUCUUCAAGGGAUAGUCUGCGGGAGCCCUUGCCCCCAUUAGGGAAACAGACCUACCAGAGAGAAAGUCGGCACAGCUGGGACUCUCCUGUCUUUAACACUGACGUAGUGCAAAGAAGACAAUAUCGCAUCGGACUCAACCUCUUCAACAAGAAACCAGAAAAGGGUAUUCAGUACCUAAUUGAGAAGGGCUUUGUGUCAGACACGCCAGUGGGCAUUGCUCGCUUUAUCCUGGAGAGAAAAGGCCUGAGUCGGCAGAUGAUUGGAGAGUUCCUUGGAAAUAGACAGAAACAGUUCAACAAAGAUGUAUUGGAUUGUGUUGUGGAUGAAAUGGACUUUUCCGGAAUGGAUCUUGAUGAUGCUCUGAGGAAAUUUCAAGCUCAGAUAAAAGUCCAAGGAGAGGCUCAAAAAGUGGAAAGACUUAUUGAGGCUUUCAGUCAGAGGUACUGUGUUUGUAAUCCAGCACUGGUAAGACAGUUCCAGAACCCAGACACCAUCUUCAUCCUAGCUUUUGCCAUCAUCCUCCUCAACACAGACAUGUACAGCCCCAAUAUCAAAGCAGAGAGGAAGAUGAAGCUGGAUGACUUCAUCAAAAACUUAAGAGGGGUGGAUAAUGGGCAGGACAUCCCACGUGACUUACUGGUUGGAAUCUACCAGCGCAUUCAGAAAUGGGAACUGAGAACCAAUGAUGACCAUGUUUCUCAGGUCCAGGCGGUGGAGAGAGUAAUAGUGGGCAAGAAACCAGUUCUGUCUCUGCCCCACCGCAGACUAGUGUGCUGCUGUCAGCUCUAUGAAGUCCCGGACCCCAACCGUCCUCAAAGGUCUGGAGUUCACCAGAGAGAGGUCUUCCUCUUCAACGAUCUGAUUGUGGUUACAAAGAUCUUCCAGAAGAAGAAAACCUCUGUAACAUACAGUUUCAGACAGUCCUUCCCUCUGGUGGAGAUGCAGGUUCACAUGUUCCAGAACUCCUACUAUCCUCAUGGUGUCAGACUAACAUCAGCUAUCCCAGGUGGUGAGCGUAAAGUUUUGAUUGUGUUCAUGGCCCCUAGUCAACAGGACCGCACACGCUUUGUCAGUGAUCUGAGAGAGAGCAUUGCUGAGGUCCAGGAAAUGGAGAAAUACAGAGUGGAGUCUGAGCUGGAGAAGCAGAAAGGAGUAAUGCGGCCCAGCCUGCUCACCAACAGCAUUAUGGCUGGAGGAGUGGGUGGGGUCAAGAAUGAAGUGGUGAAUGGCACUAUGGGAAGGCCUAGUCUGGAUGACAACUAUUCACCAGGAGAGGGCCUCAAACGUACUGCUCUCAGCUCCUCCCUGAGGGACCUGUCUGAAUCAGGUGAGACACUUUGCUGUGAUUGGCAACCAAUUUAUUUAUGA
Long non-coding RNA from Cyprinus carpio (common carp), 3635 nucleotides. The record is from Ensembl. NCBI's taxonomy places the organism in Eukaryota, Metazoa, Chordata, Actinopteri, Cypriniformes, Cyprinidae.